AGGUACCUCGUGAUUCGUCCCGUUGUUGAACAUGUUGAGAUUCUUGGAUAUAAAAAGUAGCUCGGAUUGAGUCAGUUUCAGAAACGAUUUGACUUUACCAAAGUUUGAGAAUACUUUUAAUAAGGAAGGAAAUAAACUCUUCUUUUUCAGUAUAAAAUCAGAAAGAUGGCGUCACCUCGAUUCCUCUGCCUUUUCGCGGUUGUUGUUCUCGUGGCUGUCGUGUCUGAAACGGAGGGGCAAGUUGGGAGCACGGGGUGCAGUCGUAAAUGGGCUCCGGCCGGGUGGUGUUGGCGUUACUGCUCGGGAUCGUCGGGCAGUUGGUGUUACACGGGGCGGCAGGGGCCAUGUGAGACGGCCUCUUGCACGGGAGGGUCCUGCUCAGGGAUCAGUUGCCGAGGCGCGGCUGCCGGGUGUGUCGGGCACUGCUCGUAAUUACUUCAGUGGGGAACAUUAAAGAAAAAAUUUAUUUUUAAAUACAGAUUUUCACCUGAUUAACAAUUUAUGUCUCGUUUUAACAGGAUUGAAAAAUAAAGAUAAAAAUAAUCUGGAAAA
This is a long non-coding RNA of Folsomia candida, 552 nucleotides long. RefSeq lists it as uncharacterized. The transcript has 2 exons. Lineage: Eukaryota; Metazoa; Arthropoda; Collembola; Entomobryomorpha; Isotomidae. The record is from RefSeq and is a predicted model, not a curated record.